UGUCUGUAUUUACUCCAAGUAAGAAAACAAAUUCCACAAUUAAACGAAAUUUGUAUUGUUUAUUGGCCCUAUAGUUUUGAGGACACUUAAGCACAUAAGUGGCUGCCACAAGUUCAAGCUGAAUGAACACAAAUGAAUUUCCCCAGAUUUAAACGGCAUGAAACAUGUAGGCUUUCCGGAGUCUUAGCAACAACAUAUUUGGCAUUCCUACAAUUCACCUAUCAUAAAUACCUCUGUGGUUGCCGCACGACUUUCAAUUAUCUGAUAAGCCCGAAAACUAUGUGCAGUACUCCCCAGUGCGCUCCUAAAAUUGUUCGAGUGCCUUGUUUGUCUGACAGUUGCAGAAAGAGCAACACAAUAAUAAAGCUCAAACACGCAGUCGGACCGAGAAUUCAGUUUCAAGUGCCGCAGGCGGUCGAAAAAGAGGCCAAACAGGAGCAGUAUUGAGUUUGUGUGGUCUUGACUUUUGGCUGGAAAACACUAGGAUUUCCAUUGUUGCAAAUACAUCAGUCAAGUUAUCUAACAGUCAAGUCAGUCAGUUGAGUGGAAUAUAAACUUACUUUUCGGGAAUUUAUUUGGUAUUAUUUAUUAAUUAUAUUAUGAAAGAUAACCUGCGAUAUCUCACCGAUCUGUGUAGGCUCGCGUCAUGUUGUGGCAGAUCUCGCCGGCCUUGUUCUCCAGGUAGCUCUGGAUGCU
Long non-coding RNA from Drosophila ficusphila, 696 nucleotides. RefSeq lists it as uncharacterized. The record is from RefSeq and is a predicted model, not a curated record. Lineage: Eukaryota; Metazoa; Arthropoda; Insecta; Diptera; Drosophilidae. The transcript is spliced from 3 exons.